CCGUUGCUUCGGCGGGUUCGGGCCGCCCCGGCCUCGGCCGGGGGGGCCCUCCUUCGCCCCCGUGGAGGGGGCGGCCCGCCGGAGGUACACAAAACUCCUUGACACUUGUACGGCCUCUCUGAGUCUCUGUACUGAAUAAGUCAAAACUUUCAACAACGGAUCUCUUGGUUCUGGCAUCGAUGAAGAACGCAGCGAAAUGCGAUAAGUAAUGUGAAUUGCAGAAUUCAGUGAAUCAUCGAAUCUUUGAACGCACCUUGCGCCCGCCAGUAUUCUGGCGGGCAUGCCUGUUCGAGCGUCAUUUCAACCAUCAAGCCCCGGGCUUGUGUUGGGGAUCUGCGGCUGCCCGCAGGCCCUGAAAACCAGUGGCGGGCUCGCUGUCACUCCGAGCGUAGUAGCACUCGUAUCUCGCUCAGGGCGUGCCGCGGGCUCCGGCCGUUAAACCGCC
This 445-nucleotide ribosomal RNA is filed under the name Melanocarpus albomyces. RNAcentral describes it as "eukaryotic LSU rRNA". The stretch from base 145 to 298 matches the Rfam family "5.8S ribosomal RNA". The record is from RNAcentral. Lineage: Eukaryota; Fungi; Ascomycota; Sordariomycetes; Sordariales; Chaetomiaceae.